CCCUCAGCUGAUACAAAAGUGGAAUAAUGUGUUAGUUUCCUGAGGCUGCUGACAAAUUCCCAGAAACUUGGGGGCUUCAACAACAGAAAUUUGUUCUCUCAUAGUUCCGGAGGCCUGAAGUCAAGGUGUUGGCAGGGCUGCACUCCCUCAGGGGGCUCUAAGGGAGAUAAUGUUCUUUGCCCCUGCCAACUUGAUGGAUGCCAGUGUUCCUAGGCUUGUGGCUGCAUAACUCCAGUCUCUGCCUCCAUCUUCACCCGGCUGUCUUCUCCUCUCUCUCCUGUGUGUCUUUUAUAAGGAUACUUGCCAUUGGACUUAGGGUCAACUCAGGUAAUUCAGGAUGAUCUCAUCUCCAGAUGGUUAACUUAAUUCCAUCUGCAAAUACCUUUUUCCAAAUAAGGACACAUUCAGAGGUUUUGGGGAUUAGGACAUAGACAUACAUUUUGGGGGCCACCAUUCAACCCUUUCAAGCAAUAUAGGGCUCUAUUGGAUUUAUGUGACAGACCACUGCCCAAGUUAAAAUAAGCCAAAGGGAAAUUUGCAGGUUCAUGAAAACGGAAAGCACAGGAGAGGUUCAAGUUUCCAAUGGAUGGAAGGCUCAGACAAUGUUAGCAGGUUUCUUUUCUAUCUAUCAUCGUGUUUCUCAGUUUUGCUUAUCUCAAUUUGACUUUAUUUCUUCUGCAGACCUUUCUGAUGGGGCUGUGACGAUAGCCCCUAGAAAACCUCCACACAUAACCUUGCAGUUGAAAAAGACAGUCUUGUUUGAUAACUGUAUAGAAAAUUCCUAAGGAAAACUCUGAUUGGCCAUUUUGAGUCACAUGCCCAUUUCUGCAUGUGGUGGGGGAGGGGCUUUACAGUGAUUGACAACCCCACUAGAACUAUAUGGAAGAGAGGUAGCAUAGUUCCUCCAAGGAAGAGCUGCUGGAUGGACAAACUAAGUAUGUCUACUAAGGACAUUCUUCUCCCUCCAUUAUUAAAUGAGGUGCAGCUUUACAUUUAGAGGGCUCCAGAGGCCUUGCUUCCAUGGGAGAUAGCAAAUACCACACUACACUGAAAAUCUAUGCAGGAUGUGGUGGGAUCAAGGUGGCACUGAGGAGAUGAACACAUGAGGAGUCAUAAGGAAGAUACCCAUGUUGAGUGUGCAGAAUCUUCACUGAGGAAGACCUCAAGGGAAAUGAGAUCCUGUGCAUAUAUUUACAGACUGGUGAGCCCUGGAAAUAAUAACAAAAGAUAUCUAGAAAAGACCUAAAUGCUUGGAAAUUAAGCAACACACUUCUAAAUAAUCCAUGGGUCUAAUAAGAAAUCCCAAUGGAUAUAAGAAAAUAUAUUGAACUGAAAAUUAAUGAAGUCGUGACAUAUUGGAGCUUGUGGAAGCUGUGCUUAGAGGGACAGUUAUGCAUAUAUUUGGGGCAGGGGUCGAAAAAAUGGCCUAGACGCAAAUUUCAAAAAGAUGGAGGCUUGGCAAAAAUUAUUGGCUCCUGCAACUGAAAAAUCCAAAUGGGAGUUCCAUUUUCAGGCACAGUUAGAUCAGGUGUCAGAUAUCACCAUGAGGACUUAGUAGCAACCCAGCCAGUUUCUUUGCUAGUUUCUCUAUUGACUUCCGUCUCAACCAUCUCAUGUGAUGGCUCUUGACACUCCCAGGCUUAUAUCCUCCAAGCUUAGCAAUUUCAGUGGAAAGAAGAUUCUUUCCAGAUAGUUCCAGUACAAGUUUCUGGAUUGACUCUGAUUCUUCUGGCUUGAAUCAUGCCUAUCUCUG
RNAcentral lists this long non-coding RNA (1753 nucleotides) under Macaca fascicularis (crab-eating macaque). RNAcentral describes it as "lncRNA (ENSMFAG00000047666.1)". Lineage: Eukaryota; Metazoa; Chordata; Mammalia; Primates; Cercopithecidae. The record is from RNAcentral.